This 370-nucleotide ribosomal RNA is filed under the name uncultured organism. Its description in RNAcentral is "bacterial SSU rRNA". It matches the Rfam family "Bacterial small subunit ribosomal RNA", at positions 526 to 896 of the family's 1533-position model. The record is from RNAcentral.
CGUAGGGUGCAAGCGUUAAUCGGAAUUACUGGGCGUAAAGCGUGCGCAGGCGGUGAUGUAAGACAGGUGUGAAAUCCCCGGGCUUAACCUGGGAACUGCAUUUGUGACUGCAUCGCUGGAGUGCGGCAGAGGGGGAUGGAAUUCCGCGUGUAGCAGUGAAAUGCGUAGAUAUGCGGAGGAACACCGAUGGCGAAGGCAAUCCCCUGGGCCUGCACUGACGCUCAUGCACGAAAGCGUGGGGAGCAAACAGGAUUAGAUACCCUGGUAGUCCACGCCCUAAACGAUGUCAACUGGUUGUUGGGUCUUCACUGACUCAGUAACGAAGCUAACGCGUGAAGUUGACCGCCUGGGGAGUACGGCCGCAAGGUUG